Molecule: ribosomal RNA, 468 nt
Filed under: uncultured bacterium
Lineage: Bacteria
Description: partial 16S ribosomal RNA
Rfam family: Bacterial small subunit ribosomal RNA
Source: RNAcentral
GACGAACGCUGGCGGCGUGCUUAACACAUGCAAGUCGAACGGAAAGGCCCUGCUUUUGUGGGGUGCUCGAGUGGCGAACGGGUGAGUAACACGUGAGUAACCUGCCCUUGACUUUGGGAUAACUUCAGGAAACUGGGGCUAAUACCGGAUAGGAGCUCCUGCUGCAUGGUGGGGGUUGGAAAGUUUCGGCGGUUGGGGAUGGACUCGCGGCUUAUCAGCUUGUUGGUGGGGUAGUGGCUUACCAAGGCAUUGACGGGUAGCCGGCCUGAGAGGGUGACCGGCCACAUUGGGACUGAGAUACGGCCCAGACUCCUACGGGAGGCAGCAGUGGGGAAUAUUGCACAAUGGGCGGAAGCCUGAUGCAGCAACGCCGCGUGCGGGAUGACGGCCUUCGGGUUGUAAACCGCUUUAGCCUGUGACGAAGCGUGAGUGACGGUAAUGGGUAAAGAAGCACCGGCUAACUACGUG